AUGCAGGUGCAGCUGGACAUUCUCCUGAGCUAAAAGCAUAUUCAUUUAGUCCCGUCAAACGGAUUAUUACUUUUGCUGCAGCUAAUAUAAAGGGAGUUUGACCAUUUUGGCUGACUGAUGCAGGAUUUUCACAAGAGGUCUUCAAAACACUUCUUGUUAAACUCGAUCUCAAAUCAAGUAAGACUACCCGCUGAACUUAA
This 200-nucleotide unclassified non-coding RNA is filed under the name soil metagenome. RNAcentral's name for it is "partial contains internal transcribed spacer 2 and large subunit ribosomal RNA". The record is from RNAcentral.